UACGGGGGGGGCAAGCGUUGUUCGGAAUUACUGGGCGUAAAGGGCUCGUAGGUGGCCAACUAAGUCAGACGUGAAAUCCCUCGGCUUAACCGGGGAACUGCGUCUGAUACUGGAUGGCUUGAGUUUGGGAGAGGGACGCGGAAUUCCAGGUGUAGCGGUGAAAUGCGUAGAUAUCUGGAGGAACACCAGUAGCGAAGGCGGCACUCUGGGCCGGAACUGACGCUGAGGAGCGAAAGCGUGGGUAGCAAACAGG
This 253-nucleotide ribosomal RNA is filed under the name uncultured bacterium. Its description in RNAcentral is "partial 16S ribosomal RNA". It matches the Rfam family "Bacterial small subunit ribosomal RNA", at positions 524 to 776 of the family's 1533-position model. The record is from RNAcentral.